AAAAAAAGGGCUCUCAAGGCUUACUGCUCUUCAUAACUAUGUCUUUUAUUCUCAGUGUGACUUGUCACAGGGAGUUCGACCAAGGCAACUCUAUAUAGGCUUUACAUCUUCUGCUUCUGUGAAGGACUUCAAAGACUUCAGAUGGAAUUUCAGCUGAGUUUGGUUGGCAACCAAUUCCUGCCCAAAAUUAUCUACUCCCGGAAAACGUCUGCACAUAUAAUGGACACACAAGCUGCAGGUACAGUACAUACU
This is a long non-coding RNA of Passer domesticus (house sparrow), 252 nucleotides long. RefSeq lists it as uncharacterized. The transcript is spliced from 3 exons. The record is from RefSeq and is a predicted model, not a curated record. Lineage: Eukaryota; Metazoa; Chordata; Aves; Passeriformes; Passeridae.